This 253-nucleotide ribosomal RNA is filed under the name uncultured bacterium. RNAcentral describes it as "partial 16S ribosomal RNA". It matches the Rfam family "Bacterial small subunit ribosomal RNA", at positions 524 to 776 of the family's 1533-position model. The record is from RNAcentral.
UACGUAGGGCGCAAGCGUUAUCCGGAAUUAUUGGGCGUAAAGAGCUCGUAGGCGGUUUGUCGCGUCUGCUGUGAAAGACCGGGGCUCAACUCCGGUUCUGCAGUGGGUACGGGCAGACUAGAGUGCAGUAGGGGAGACUGGAAUUCCUGGUGUAGCGGUGAAACGCGCAGAUAUCAGGAGGAACACCGAUGGCGAAGGCAGGUCUCUGGGCUGUAACUGACGCUGAGGAGCGAAAGCAUGGGGAGCGAACAGG